Molecule: ribosomal RNA, 241 nt
Filed under: uncultured bacterium
Lineage: Bacteria
Description: partial 16S ribosomal RNA
Rfam family: Bacterial small subunit ribosomal RNA
Source: RNAcentral
GAUCCUGGCUCAGGAUGAACGCUGGCGGCGUGCCUAACACAUGCAAGUCGAACGAAGCUCUUACGACAGAACUCUUCGGAAGGAAGAUGUAAAAGACUGAGUGGCGGACGGGUGAGUAACGCGUGGGUAACCUGCCCUAUACAGGGGGACAACAGUUGAAAACGACUGCUAAUACCGCAUAAGCGCACAGUACCGCAUGGUACAGAGCGAAAAACUCCGGUGGUAUAGGAUGGGCCCGCGU